GGACCUUUAGCUCAGUUGGUCAGAGCAUCCGGCUCAUAACCGGACGGCCCGGGGUUCGAAUCCCUGAAGGUCCA
This 74-nucleotide transfer RNA is filed under the name Hungatella hathewayi. Its description in RNAcentral is "tRNA-Met". It matches the Rfam family "tRNA". From Rfam's summary of the family: Transfer RNA (tRNA) molecules are approximately 80 nucleotides in length. The record is from RNAcentral. Lineage: Bacteria; Bacillati; Bacillota; Clostridia; Lachnospirales; Lachnospiraceae.